Molecule: ribosomal RNA, 432 nt
Filed under: Triticum aestivum (bread wheat)
Lineage: Eukaryota; Viridiplantae; Streptophyta; Magnoliopsida; Poales; Poaceae
Description: partial small subunit ribosomal RNA
Source: RNAcentral
AUGCGCAAAGAUAAACCAGAAUAUGUAAUGGGGAUUGGUUAUCCACUUGAAAUUGUAGUACGCAGGGCUUCGGGUGCAGAUCUGUAUGACUAUGUCUAUCCAACACGCACUGCUCUCUUUGGGUCUGCACUUGUAGGAAAAUCUGUUCCCGACGGUUCAAUGCAAUUCAAGCUAGAGAACCGUGUUCUGAAGCUGAAACAAAAUGCAAUGGUAAUUGAUGAACGGCCCAUUGAUCCUUCCUGUCCAUAUAUGGGACAAAUGGAAAAAGUAGCAAGUCCACAAGUUGAUGUAAGAUGUUCAAGUGACCGCUUUUGUUUAACAUGGUUGGCACAUUCUGUUCAUAUGGAAGGUGAUGUGAGCUUGGUGGUCAAAGACUUGGUCUCUUCCGUAAUAUUUUGUAGUACUCGAGUGAUCAAACAAUUGGUCUCUUAG